This 864-nucleotide long non-coding RNA is filed under the name Elaeis guineensis (African oil palm). RNAcentral's name for it is "long non-coding RNA (EGUI_LNC008348)". Lineage: Eukaryota; Viridiplantae; Streptophyta; Magnoliopsida; Arecales; Arecaceae. The record is from RNAcentral.
CUUUUCCAACCUCCCCUUUUUCCAAGACUCCAAUCUCACCUUUAAAAAGGUAAUCCGAGGAUCAAAAAUAGAAAAGAAAAGAAAAGAAAAGAAAAGAGGAAAGAGAGAAAGAGGGGAGAAGAAAAAAUGAAGUCGGCUCCCUCUGCCCGAGGUAGCCAGGAGGCCUCCUGCAUGCCCGCAUGCAUGCCCGACAUCAAACCCCAUUCGAUCGAUGGCCCUGCACUCCUAUGUGUCAUUUGGAGAUGGUUCCCAAUAGAUCGGCUAUCACCGAAGUCCUGCACUGUCGUGCGGCUCCCAUGCUCCUUCGGCAUCAAACCUCAUCGGAUUGGUAGUCUCUCGAGCUCCCAUGCACCUCCCGUCGUCGGAUUGGUGGUCUUUCGAGCUUCCGCACACCUCUGACGUCAAACCCCACCGGAUCGAUGAUCUUUCGAGCUCCUGUGCACCUCUCGAUGCUAGCACAGCCGGAUCGAUGGCCUCUCGACGCUAAACCCCCAUAGAUCGAUCGUCCUUGGGCCUCUCACACUCCAUGCCUCCCAUCGUUGAGCUCCCCUAGAUCGACCAUCACCAGGGCCUCCUGCACUCCUCCAUGACUUCCGUCGUCGAUGACUCCCCAACUUCGAAUAAUUUUUCCACUGUACAUGCUGUCCCUCCUUUGCCUAAGGCUAACAUGCAUGUCCGACCUCGGACAAUGUUGAGGUUGCUUGUGGGCUCAACUAACUCGCACCUCAUUGUUGACUUCACAUCAAGUAGAGAUUGUUCGACCCCGUGCCUCUUACGUGCUGAGGUGGCUUGCGAGCAUCUCCGAAGCCCAGAUUGAGAUUGAUAAAAAAAGAGGAGGAAGAAGAAGAAGAAGAGGGGAGAGAG